This 1160-nucleotide ribosomal RNA is filed under the name Escherichia coli. Its description in RNAcentral is "partial 23S ribosomal RNA". It matches the Rfam family "Bacterial large subunit ribosomal RNA", at positions 1 to 1194 of the family's 2925-position model. The record is from RNAcentral. Lineage: Bacteria; Pseudomonadati; Pseudomonadota; Gammaproteobacteria; Enterobacterales; Enterobacteriaceae.
GGGUUGUGAGGUUAAGCGACUAAGCGUACACGGUGGAUGCCCUGGCAGUCAGAGGCGAUGAAGGACGUGCUAAUCUGCGAUAAGCGUCGGUAAGGUGAUAUGAACCGUUAUAACCGGCGAUUUCCGAAUGGGGAAACCCAGUGUGAUUCGUCACACUAUCAUUAACUGAAUCCAUAGGUUAAUGAGGCGAACCGGGGGAACUGAAACAUCUAAGUACCCCGAGGAAAAGAAAUCAACCGAGAUUCCCCCAGUAGCGGCGAGCGAACGGGGAGCAGCCCAGAGCCUGAAUUAGUGUGUGUGUUAGUGGAAGCGUCUGGAAAGGCGCGCGAUACAGGGUGACAGCCCCGUACACAAAAAUGCACAUACUGUGAGCUCGAUGAGUAGGGCGGGACACGUGGUAUCCUGUCUGAAUAUGGGGGGACCAUCCUCCAAGGCUAAAUACUCCUGACUGACCGAUAGUGAACCAGUACCGUGAGGGAAAGGCGAAAAGAACCCCGGCGAGGGGAGUGAAAAAGAACCUGAAACCGUGUACGUACAAGCAGUGGGAGCCUCUUUAUGGGGUGACUGCGUACCUUUUGUAUAAUGGGUCAGCGACUUAUAUUCUGUAGCAAGGUUAACCGAAUAGGGGAGCCGAAGGGAAACCGAGUCUUAACUGGGCGUUAAGUUGCAGGGUAUAGACCCGAAACCCGGUGAUCUAGCCAUGGGCAGGUUGAAGGUUGGGUAACACUAACUGGAGGACCGAACCGACUAAUGUUGAAAAAUUAGCGGAUGACUUGUGGCUGGGGGUGAAAGGCCAAUCAAACCGGGAGAUAGCUGGUUCUCCCCGAAAGCUAUUUAGGUAGCGCCUCGUGAAUUCAUCUCCGGGGGUAGAGCACUGUUUCGGCAAGGGGGUCAUCCCGACUUACCAACCCGAUGCAAACUGCGAAUACCGGAGAAUGUUAUCACGGGAGACACACGGCGGGUGCUAACGUCCGUCGUGAAGAGGGAAACAACCCAGACCGCCAGCUAAGGUCCCAAAGUCAUGGUUAAGUGGGAAACGAUGUGGGAAGGCCCAGACAGCCAGGAUGUUGGCUUAGAAGCAGCCAUCAUUUAAAGAAAGCGUAAUAGCUCACUGGUCGAGUCGGCCUGCGCGGAAGAUGUAACGGGGCUAAACCAUGCAC